AAUCUGCCCAGUUCAAGCAGUGUAAUAAAGUGAAAGCUGAGGGGUUUAUUUGAAAAAAUGCAAUAUAUGGGUUAUGUUGAGGGGGUUAUGAGGUGUUUUCUCUCAUUCUCACCCUCUCACACUAUCUCCUCUCUUUCUCUCUCUAGAAAAAAAGAAGAAGAAGAAGAAAAGAAAGGAAGGAAAGGAAAAAGAAGAAGAAGGAGAAGCAGUAGAAGGUGAAGAAGAAGCUAAGGAGUAGAG
Molecule: long non-coding RNA, 240 nt
Filed under: Ananas comosus (pineapple)
Lineage: Eukaryota; Viridiplantae; Streptophyta; Magnoliopsida; Poales; Bromeliaceae
Description: long non-coding RNA (ACOM_LNC044674)
Source: RNAcentral